RNAcentral lists this ribosomal RNA (390 nucleotides) under uncultured bacterium. RNAcentral describes it as "bacterial SSU rRNA". It matches the Rfam family "Bacterial small subunit ribosomal RNA", at positions 28 to 417 of the family's 1533-position model. The record is from RNAcentral.
GACGAACGCUGGCGGCGUGCUUAACACAUGCAAGUCGAGCGGUAAGGCCCUUUCGGGGGUACACGAGCGGCGAACGGGUGAGUAACACGUGGGUGACCUGCCCUCAGCUCUGGGAUAAGCCUGGGAAACCGGGUCUAACGUACCGGAUAUGACUCCAUGACGCAUGUUGUGGGGUGGAAAGCCUUGUGCGGCUGAGGAUGGGCCCGCGGCCUAUCAGCUUGUUGGUGGGGUGAUGGCCUACCAAGGCGACGACGGGUAGCCGGCCUGAGAGGGCGACCGGCCACACUGGGACUGAGACACGGCCCAGACUCCUACGGGAGGCAGCAGUGGGGAAUCUUGCGCAAUGGGCGAAAGCCUGACGCAGCGACGCCGCGUGAGGGAUGACGGCCU